UCCUCCGUGGCGCAAUUGGCUAGCGCGUCUGACUGUUAUCAGCAGCGAUAGCUCAUCAGGAGGUUGAAAGUUCGAGCCUUUCCGGGGGAG
This 90-nucleotide transfer RNA is filed under the name Ampelomyces quisqualis. It matches the Rfam family "tRNA". Rfam says of the family: Transfer RNA (tRNA) molecules are approximately 80 nucleotides in length. Lineage: Eukaryota; Fungi; Ascomycota; Dothideomycetes; Pleosporales; Phaeosphaeriaceae. The record is from Rfam by way of RNAcentral.